This 225-nucleotide ribosomal RNA is filed under the name uncultured bacterium. RNAcentral's name for it is "partial 16S ribosomal RNA". It matches the Rfam family "Bacterial small subunit ribosomal RNA", at positions 524 to 745 of the family's 1533-position model. The record is from RNAcentral.
UACGUAGGGCGCAAGCGUUGUCCGGAAUUAUUGGGCGUAAAGAGCUCGUAGGCGGUUUGUCGCGUCUGCUGUGAAAACCUAAGGCUCAACCUUGGGCUUGCAGUGGGUACGGGCAGACUAGAGGUGCGGUAGGGGAGACUGGAAUUCCUGGUGUAGCGGUGAAAUGCGCAGAUAGUCAGGAGGAACACCGGUGGGCGAAGGCGGGUCUCUGGGCCGUAACUGACG